This is a long non-coding RNA of Macrobrachium nipponense, 757 nucleotides long. RefSeq lists it as uncharacterized. The transcript has 5 exons. The record is from RefSeq and is a predicted model, not a curated record. Lineage: Eukaryota; Metazoa; Arthropoda; Malacostraca; Decapoda; Palaemonidae.
CGUCGAUUCGCACCUGGUGGUUUGAAAUUCCUGUCGGUUACCUGUGGUUCGCUAAUUGGCUGGGCAAUAUGGCGAACAGUAAUCUGAGAUUCACAGGGAUAUUUCACUUGCAUUUGUUUUGGAUUCCCUUGAUGCUGGGGUAUGGGAUAACACUGGUGGCAGAAGGAACUGAAACCUGGAUAGCUCCUGAAUAUUGCAUGAAGGACCUUCCUGCAAAUGUGGCCAACGUCUCAGUCCCCAGCAAAUUGAUGUGUUCUCUCCACGCAAGCAAAUCAAGGUCGACGAUGUUUGUUUACCAAAGUAAGACAUGUUCCACAUACGACGGCCUCAAUGAAGCUUCCUAUUCGACUCUGGUAUUCGCCAUGAAAACUUCUCCCGCUCUGUUGGAGGAAGUCGCCAGGGGAGGAACACCUUCACUAGUCAGCAGUGUCUGAACCAUGUAAAAGAAAAUGCAGUCGACGGAAACAUAACAACCUUAUACCACUCUGAGGGUCAAGUAAACCCUUUCUGGACAGUCGAUUUGGGAGAAGUCCGGAACGUAUCUCUGGUCAGGAUCCUUCCUAAUGGCAACCAGUUCAACAACAUUGAGAUCCGCCUUGGCAGGGACAAUCUGACAACGGGGGACUUCUCGUCCUACGCCUUGCUGGCCAGAUACACCGGUCCUUACUCAUUGUCUCAGCAGUACCUGGCCUGCCACUCACGAGGGGUCCUUGGAAGAUAUCUCAGCAUCCAGAAGGUUCCACCAGGCACUACUUAC